RNAcentral lists this ribosomal RNA (451 nucleotides) under uncultured bacterium. RNAcentral describes it as "partial 16S ribosomal RNA". It matches the Rfam family "Bacterial small subunit ribosomal RNA", at positions 354 to 796 of the family's 1533-position model. The record is from RNAcentral.
GUGGGGAAUAUUGGACAAUGGGGGGAACCCCGAUCCAGCCAUGCCGCGUGUGUGAAGAAGGCCUUUUGGUUGUAAAGCACUUUAAGCGAGGAGGAGGCUACCGAGAUUAAUACUCUUGGAUAGUGGACGUUACUCGCAGAAUAAGCACCGGCUAACUCUGUGCCAGCAGCCGCGGUAAUACAGAGGGUGCAAGCGUUAAUCGGAUUUACUGGGCGUAAAGCGCGCGUAGGUGGCCAAUUAAGUCAAAUGUGAAAUCCCCGAGCUUAACUUGGGAAUAGCAUUCGAUACUGGUUGGCUAGAGUAUGGGAGAGGAUGGUAGAAUUCCAGGUGUAGCGGUGAAAUGCGUAGAGAUCUGGAGGAAUACCGAUGGCGAAGGCAGCCAUCUGGCCUAAUACUGACACUGAGGUGCGAAAGCAUGGGGAGCAAACAGGAUUAGAAACCCGGGUAGUCC